Long non-coding RNA from Vitis riparia (riverbank grape), 710 nucleotides. RefSeq lists it as uncharacterized. The transcript has 4 exons. Lineage: Eukaryota; Viridiplantae; Streptophyta; Magnoliopsida; Vitales; Vitaceae. The record is from RefSeq and is a predicted model, not a curated record.
CAAGAAGGCCUUUUUUGAAGAUGCUCUCCAAACGAGAGAAUUCGCCCUUCUCUGCGACUCUCAAUCCUAGCAAGAUAUUGAGGCAAGUAUAGAUCACGCAUGGCUGAAGUAAGCCUUGGUGUGCUUAUGGAUAUUAUGGAUGAGGAAUGGAUGAGAGACACUCUGCCUGUUGAUGAUCUUCCAUUGCCACCUGUACUGGUUGCUCGAACUAAAGAUACGGAAGACUCAAAACAUCAUUGAAUCAAGAUUAUGUUGAUUUUGGUUUCACCUACAUCAAACUUGAGAUCAAAAACCUCAAAAUUUCUACAUAUUAGAUCUUUAAUUAUUUGGUACGUUCUGGUUUGCUUUGUGAUUUACUGAAGAAAAAGUGUGGAUUGUGUGAUGGUUGAAAUAUUUAGUUAUUGGGUUUUUUGGUUCUGAGUCUCAAAUGGACUUGUCAAGUUGUAAGCAUUUGAGAUUCUUUGGCUGCCAUUUGAAUUCUAGACAUGUAAAUGUGUUGCUCUAGUUUUUAGAGUUGUUUUGCUCCCCACAUUCUUUGGCUUUGGUGAGGUUGUUUAGAACAACUUUUUGGUGAUCAACAACAGUUCAUUGUCCUCAAAUUCCAAGCUCCAAAUGUGGAAAGACAAGUUCCUCAAAUUUUAUAAGGAUAAGUUCUUUUUGUAUGGAAAAAUAAUUAUAAAAAAAACCUUAAAUGUGCAGUUUUUGAUGAA